Delphinapterus leucas (beluga whale) is the source of this 1962-nucleotide non-coding RNA. Lineage: Eukaryota; Metazoa; Chordata; Mammalia; Artiodactyla; Monodontidae. The record is from RefSeq and is a predicted model, not a curated record.
CAGCGGCGAAAGCACGGAGGCCGAACCAGUGGACUUCUGAACACUCAUGCUGUUCCACAUCCAUGGUUAAGUGACCACCGUUUAUUCUGCAAUCAGAGAGUCGAGCUGGCAGAACUGAAGUUCCUUGGAUCCAGGACUGACUGAUCCAUUCACCAUUCAGCAUGCAUUUGUUCAGCACUGUGUGGCAUAAUGUGGUGUAAAGAAUACGUGUUUUAGAGUUAAGAAAACUGGAGUUUGCAUCCAGGCUCUCUCACUAGCUCUGUGAUUUCAGUAAAAUUACUUCACCUUUAUGACAUCUACGGCAUGAUGACAUCUAUGGACAUAGGUUGUUGUGAUGGAUACCCAAGAAUAUAACUCAAGAGAGCCAUAGCAGGACCAGCUGAUCAGAAGACUCUCUGCUCCAGGAAUGCUGUUAGAAAGAAGUGCCCCUGUGCAGGAGCAACUAGGGACAGCCAACUCCUUCCAGGCUGGGUGGAGUUAGGAAGAGGAGUCCAUUUGCUGUCCCUGCUGGCUGCGUGAUGACCAGCCAGAUGUGCCAAGGCCUGUGAGACCCAGCCUGCAAGACAGCCUUUGGAGACAAAUACGGUCACAAGGAGUCUAAAAAUAAAGUGACAUGGACCCCUCUAGAAUUCCAACAACCCUGACCACACCUGGAGCUGCUGCACCAACUGACAUCAAUGAGGAGAGCGUCGAUACAGGCUCUUGAAGAUGGGAAGAAGCUGCGAGAGACAAAUUAGGGGGACAGCUGGUGAAAGCCAUGGAUAGACUUAGCCAGAUUCCAAAAUGUUUUAAAAGCAUUUCUCCAAAUAUCUGUCUUUUAAUGUCCUAAAAACAAAAAUAUUGCCUCCGUCUGUGUCAACUUUUACGUUAAACUUAAGUAUUUGUUCUACUGCUUUACGGAAGAAAGAAUACAAGAACAUGGCCUGGCACUUGGGUAACUUAAGACAAUUAAAUAGCAAAUGAUGAAACUAUAAACCUAAUUGACAGUGGGCUCCAGACUGAGAAUUGCAGUUCAAUUCCAAUUCUUUCAUUGCAAAGCUUAGUUUAACCAUGCAAUAGCCACAAAACUUUUAUUUAGAUAGCACUUUACAGUUUAUAAAGCAUGCUCACACAUAUUAUCUCAAGUACCCCCAAUAGAAGAAUAUUACAUAAUGGCUAGAGGGACACAUUUGGCCUUUAUUGUAAGGGGCAAAAUUAUCUUAGCCAUAUCUUUGGGGACUGAUAAUUCCACACUGCAGAUGGAAGUCUGAAGGUUGAGACAAGAACUCCAAAUCCUGUGGAAUCUAGAAAAAGCCAGACUAACUAUACAGAUGUCAAGGUAUACUCUGGUACUAGGUCUGUAUGUACAUAUCUAAUUUCAGCAAGCUCAAAUAACAAUUUGCCAAGGGCUGUCUGAACUCUGCGAUUGUAAUCUAGAAGUCAAAACUCAAAGCAAGAAGACAGGUGAGUUUCUGCUUUCCCCACUCAUCUCCUGGGUGGGUGGCACAAUGAUAUGCCAGGCUGUGCGUUCUCUCCUCCCCACAUCAGGGCCCACUUAGCAUCACCCAAUUGCAAACCGCUACUCUCAAUUUUUAGGGAAACCAAAUAGUUUAAACUUCUCUGCAAAGACAAUACACUACUAGAAAAGUGUCUACUGUUUCCUUGGUGUCUAGUAGAUUAAAAGAUACUCCCUGUCCCUUUAGCCUUGCAUUUUUGGAAAGUUUCUCACUUCAGAUUUGGAAAGCGACAAGGAGAUCUCAAUAGUUUUUAAAAGCCUCAGACCUAAGUUCUUGUAGCAACAGUACCUUCUAAGAGCCUCCAUCUUGCCUUCUGCACCUUUAGAGGUGCACCCACAAAAAGGACAUAACAAGUCCAUUUUAACACUCUAUUCCUUUUGGUCUCUAAUAGGAAGUUAAAUUAAGAAUAUUAAAUCCCCGUUUUUUUCUUCAAGGAGUUUUAUGGGUUCAGGUGUUAUUUUUAAGU